This 72-nucleotide transfer RNA is filed under the name Halalkalibacter krulwichiae. RNAcentral describes it as "Bacillus krulwichiae tRNA". It matches the Rfam family "tRNA". From Rfam's summary of the family: Transfer RNA (tRNA) molecules are approximately 80 nucleotides in length. Lineage: Bacteria; Bacillati; Bacillota; Bacilli; Caryophanales; Bacillaceae. The record is from Rfam by way of RNAcentral.
GCCUCUAUCGUCUAACGGAUAAGACAAGGGUCUUCUAUACCUUUAAUGUGGGUUCGAUUCCUACUAGGGGCU